This 725-nucleotide ribosomal RNA is filed under the name uncultured bacterium. Its description in RNAcentral is "bacterial SSU rRNA". It matches the Rfam family "Bacterial small subunit ribosomal RNA", at positions 771 to 1501 of the family's 1533-position model. The record is from RNAcentral.
AACAGGAUUAGAUACCCUGGUAGUCCACGCCCUAAACGAUGUCAACUAGCUGUUGGGGCCUUCGGGCCUUGGUAGCGCAGCUAACGCGUGAAGUUGACCGCCUGGGGAGUACGGUCGCAAGAUUAAAACUCAAAGGAAUUGACGGGGACCCGCACAAGCGGUGGAUGAUGUGGAUUAAUUCGAUGCAACGCGAAAAACCUUACCUACCCUUGACAUGUCUGGAAUGCCGAAGAGAUUUGGCAGUGCUCGCAAGAGAACCGGAACACAGGUGCUGCAUGGCUGUCGUCAGCUCGCGUCGUGAGAUGUUGGGUUAAGUCCCGCAACGAGCGCAACCCUUGUCAUUAGUUGCUACGAAAGGGCACUCUAAUGAGACUGCCGGUGACAAACCGGAGGAAGGUGGGGAUGACGUCAAGUCCUCAUGGCCCUUAUGGGUGGGGCUUCACACGUCAUACAAUGGUCGGGACAGAGGGUCGCCAACCCGCGAGGGGGAGCCAAUCCCAGAAACCCGAUCGUAGUCCGGAUCGCAGUCUGCAACUCGACUGCGUGAAGUCGGAAUCGCUAGUAAUCGCGGAUCAGCAUGUCGCGGUGAAUACGUUCCCGGGUCUUGUACACACCGCCCGUCACACCAUGGGAGUGGGUUUUACCAGAAGUAGUUAGCCUAACCGCAAGGGGGGCGAUUACCACGGUAGGAUUCAUGACUGGGGUGAAGUCGUAACAAGGUAACC